RNAcentral lists this ribosomal RNA (253 nucleotides) under uncultured bacterium. Its description in RNAcentral is "partial 16S ribosomal RNA". It matches the Rfam family "Bacterial small subunit ribosomal RNA", at positions 524 to 776 of the family's 1533-position model. The record is from RNAcentral.
UACGUAGGGGGCGAGCGUUGUCCGGAUUUAUUGGGCGUAAAGAGCUCGUAGGCGGCUUGUUGCGUCGACUGUGAAAACCCGCGGCUUAACUGCGGGCUUGCAGUUGAUACGGGCAGGCUAGAGUUCGGUAGGGGAGACUGGAAUUCCUGGUGUAGCGGUGAGAUGCGCAGAUAUCAGGAAGAACACCCGUGGCGAAGGCGGUUCUCUGGGACGGUACUGACGCUGAGACGCGAAAGCGUGGGGAGCGAACAGG